UACGAAGGGUGCAAGCGUUACUCGGAAUUACUGGGCGUAAAGCGUGCGUAGGCGGUUUGUUAAGUCUGUCGUGAAAGCCCCGGGCUCAACCUGGGAAUGGCGAUGGAAACUGGCGAGCUAGAGUACGGUAGAGGAGAGUGGAAUUCCCGGUGUAGCAGUGAAAUGCGUAGAGAUCGGGAGGAACAUCAGUUGCGAAGGCGGCUCUCUGGACCAUUACUGACGCUGAGGCACGAAAGCGUGGGGAGCAAACAGG
RNAcentral lists this ribosomal RNA (253 nucleotides) under uncultured bacterium. RNAcentral's name for it is "partial 16S ribosomal RNA". It matches the Rfam family "Bacterial small subunit ribosomal RNA", at positions 524 to 776 of the family's 1533-position model. The record is from RNAcentral.